GAUGAACGCUGGCGGCGUGCUUGAUACAUGCAAGUCGAACGGAGAGUGUAGCAAUAUACUUUUAGUGGCGAACGGGUGAGUAACGCGUUGGUGACCUGCCCCGAAGCGAGGGAUAACAGUUCGAAAGAACUGCUAAUACCUCAUGUGAUCACCGGUUUUAGAAUCUGGUGAUUAAAGGUGAAAAUCACUUCGGGAGGGGCCUGCGUCCCAUCAGCUAGUCGGUAAGGUAAUGGCUUACCAAGGCGAUGACGGGUAGGGGACCUGAGAGGGUGGCCCCCCACAAUGGAACUGAAACACGGUCCAUACACCUACGGGUGGCAGCAGUAGGGAAUAUUGCAAAUGGGCGAAAGCCUGAUGUAGCAACGCCGCGUGUGCGAUGAAGGUCUUCGGAUUGUAAAGCACUUUUUGGAGGGAUGAGGAAGGACAGUACCUCCAGAAUAAGCCUCGGCUAACUACGUG
Molecule: ribosomal RNA, 459 nt
Filed under: uncultured bacterium
Lineage: Bacteria
Description: bacterial SSU rRNA
Rfam family: Bacterial small subunit ribosomal RNA
Source: RNAcentral